This is a small nucleolar RNA of Cavia aperea (Brazilian guinea pig), 78 nucleotides long. Ensembl annotates it as small nucleolar RNA, C/D box 111B. The record is from Ensembl. NCBI's taxonomy places the organism in Eukaryota, Metazoa, Chordata, Mammalia, Rodentia, Caviidae.
CAGCCUGAAGUGAUGAUUCACAUUCAUGUCUCUUCUCUGAUAAAUUUUGAAGAAAAUUCUGUGUGUCUGAGCAGGCAU